Molecule: unclassified non-coding RNA, 380 nt
Filed under: uncultured bacterium
Lineage: Bacteria
Description: contains 16S-23S intergenic spacer region
Source: RNAcentral
UCCGAGUUGACCCCGGCAGUCUCCCACGAGUCCCCGGCAUAACCCGCUGGCAACGUAGGACAGGGGUUGCGCUCGUUGAUGGACUUAACCAAACAUCUCACGACACGAGCUGACGACGGCCAUGCAUCACCUGUCACUGCGCUCACAAGGCACAGUCUCCUUUCGGAGACCUUCGCAGGAUGUCAAGCCUGGGUAAGGUUCUUCGCUUAUCAUCGAAUUAAACAACACGCUCCACCGCUUGUGCGGGUCCCCGUCAAUUCCUUUGAGUUUUAGCCUUGCGGCCGUACUCCCCAGGCGGGAUACUUAAUGCGUUAGCUUCGGCACGGCAGUCAUUGGUAUAACCGCCACACCUAGUAUCCAUCGUUUACAGCGUGGACUAC